Cicer arietinum (chickpea) is the source of this 2465-nucleotide non-coding RNA. Lineage: Eukaryota; Viridiplantae; Streptophyta; Magnoliopsida; Fabales; Fabaceae. The record is from RefSeq and is a predicted model, not a curated record.
AUUGAUAUAUACAUUACCUUCUUAAUUCAGUGCCACUGUCUAUUUAGAUUUUAGAUUGAUAUUGUUAGGAUAUAGAAAUAGUGAUAAUUAGGAGUUUGUUUGAAGUUGUGUUCCUAGGUUGUUAUUAGUUAUAUAGGUGUAACUGUUCUGGUGUUUCUGUUAUUAGUUGGUUACCUUGGACCUAAUCCCUAUCCUAAUGUAUUGGAAGUCUUUAAAUAGAGACUUUCACCCCUUUAGAAAUCAUCUUUUGCAAAAUUAGAAAUUGAGUGGUGUAAACUAUUGUAGGAGCGUAUCCGCUCUCGUGUAUCUUUUUAUUUGGAGAGAUUCUCUCCUAUUAUUUCUUUCUCUUUUCUAAAUAUUAGUGUUCUUCCUCUAAAUUCUUGGAAUUCACUUCUUGAGUUCAUAACAGAUAUGGUGCUGUGCAUUAUGAUGUGGUGUCAAAAUUAACCCAAGGAUCCAAGUACUAGCUUAAUAUUACUAGUACAAAGCCCAAACCCACUAGCUACAGUAAGAGUAUUAACCCUUAUUACAUAAGAAAAAAAUUAGGAAAAUAUAAUGAAGUUAAGAAACAUCUCCUUAGAUUUCUUUCUCAAUUAGAUGACAAUCUGAUUUCACAAUACAUACUGAGACAAUCUAAAGCUAAUCUAAAUAUAUUCUAACAGAACUUAUGUUUUAUUUUGCAUGCGAAAGGUUUCAUAGACCCCUUGCAGCCUCACCAAUGACAAAACAGGAAAGGGAUCUUCUUUGUUUAUUCGUAUUAAUUCUUUCAAGGGCCAACUCACCUAAAAACUUUAGCGAUUAGAUGAGGCUGAGGUUCAAUUAAAAGUUAUUUAAUGUAAAAAUUCUUCUUAGAUUUUGAGCUUUAGGCUUAACUCCUCCCCACAAAAUUGACUUGUAAGGUGAGGACCACCCAACAAUUAAAAGCACUAUCUAGGUCAUAUCUCUAAUCAAUGGAGGAUUUUCAAUACAUGUACACUUAGGACUAAACAUUUGAAGUGUGGAUUAUUGUGAGUGGAAUAACAAGGAUCUAUCACACCCUUUCGCACAAAGGUUUGCACAUCUGGAGCGUGAGCAAAUGUGCGUGGAAUAAUAGAGAUCUUGGACCAAUAACAAAUUUAGGAUGAACUCUGAUAACAACUUAGAAUUGGACUCCAGGACUAACUCAUCCUCAUAAAACCGAUUUGUAAGGUGAGAAUUGCCCAAACUUCAUUAGCAUCGCUUAGGUCUUAUCUCUAGUCGAUGUGAGACUCAACAAUUCUUUUUAACCAAACAAAAAAAAAAGACUUCCUCUGGGAACCGAAGUUUUUUCUUUCUUUGUGUGUAUAUAUAUUUAUAUAUAUAUAAAUAUAUUAUGAGUGUUAUAAGAACAAUGACUUUUGUGAGUACCUAGGUAGUUAAUCCCAGCGUUUCCCGGCGAGAUCCCGCUGUCCCGGUGCGGUACAUUGCCUCACCGCGACGGCGUGUCCGCGAUAGCGUGAAACAAGAUCCCGACGAGAUCGAGGCGAGAUCCCGUUAUCCCGGCGUAGUUAAUCCUAACGUUUCCCAGCGAAAUCCGGCUAUUAUUUCUUCCUUCUGUGUUUUAUUGUUUCUACUUUCACCUAAAAAGAAGAAGUAGAAUAUGCUAAUGAAGAUGAUGCUUAUCUUUGAUUCCUAUGCUAGAACAUGCAUGUGAGUUUUAAUAUUUAGUUAUUUUAUUAGUGUGUUAAAGACUUCAAUAUGGAUCAUCUUUAUUUCCUUGACUUUUGUUUGUAUUUCAAUGUAUGACUAAGAGUAAGACUUGUAAAUUCUUAUUACUAGUUAUGAAUGUUUCAGAGUUUGAGUCAUUUGUUAAUUUUGCAUUAAAUAUAGGUUUAUAUAAUAUUAUUCAUGUAAUUUGUUCAAAAAAAUAGCAACUAUCCCGCCUAUCCCGGAACGUGUUAUCCCGCUAUCCCACUUUUGGGGUUGGCCGCGACGCACCGCUAUCUGGGAUUAACUACCUAGGUGGUCGUUGACAAUAGAUGUUUAUAAUUAGUUGAGCUGAAGGUACAGUGCACAUGAGAAGGCUUAAGUUUUUGUCGCUUAACAGAACAUAUUAACUGCGGUGGUUACAGCGAGCCAAAUGAAAUUCAGUAUAUUCUUGAAUAUGGCUCUGAUUACAAAGUCUAUUAUAUGUGGAAGUAUUGUUCCGAAAAUUUUCAGACGAUGGACCACAAUAACAAUGGUACUGUCAAUCAGGUGAAGUUUCGUAAUGGAAGCUGAUCAUAUUUCAGCACACUAUUAAAUUUAUCUAGUUUGUAAAGUUCUUUUGAAUAUUCAGCUGUACAUGCCAUUUUUUACUUUGAGCGUUACAAUGUUGUUCAAUAACCUCUACUCAUUCAUGGAUCAUUGCACAUGUCGUUUGAGUUUUUUGGUGGUGUCCCGGAUCGUGAUGUGCUAUAAUAAUUAUUCCAUCUCAUUAUAUUGUCAUUAAUUAAUCUAAUGAUAAU